This 204-nucleotide ribosomal RNA is filed under the name uncultured bacterium. Its description in RNAcentral is "partial 16S ribosomal RNA". It matches the Rfam family "Bacterial small subunit ribosomal RNA", at positions 524 to 725 of the family's 1533-position model. The record is from RNAcentral.
UACGGAGGGUGCGAGCGUUGUCCGGAAUCACUGGGCGUAAAGGGCGCGUAGGCGGCCUGAUAAGUAGGGGGUGAAAGUCCUGCGGCUUAACCGCAGGGCUGCCUUCUAAACUGUCAGGCGUCGAGCACAGUAGAGGCAGGUGGAAUUCCCGGUGUAGCGGUGGAAUGCGUAGAGAUCGGGAAGAACAUCAGUGGCGAAGGCGGC